UCAGGUCAUCCUCUGGUGGACAACCUUGCUGAAUUCCAUUGUGGAGAGUGUGCAUGACGCUGAGUCCUGGUGGGAGUAUCCAGCGGAAUUCGACAAGGAGAUAAUGGAGGAUGUUACAGCGCAUCCGGACCCUGGCUCCUUCUUCAGGAAAACCCUGGACACCGUCACAUUGCUCAGGAAAAUGAAGACGCCGUUGCCCCAAGCGCUCCGGUCGGCAGUGCUGCACGUGGCGGUGUCCGGGGCCAACUACCUGGAGCCAGG
Long non-coding RNA from Hemicordylus capensis (graceful crag lizard), 261 nucleotides. RefSeq lists it as uncharacterized. The record is from RefSeq and is a predicted model, not a curated record. The transcript is spliced from 3 exons. NCBI's taxonomy places the organism in Eukaryota, Metazoa, Chordata, Lepidosauria, Squamata, Cordylidae.